GCAUUAAUGGGGUAGUGGUAACCUGGGUCGUUGCCAUAUCGAGCAGACUAGCUCGACCCGCCGGGGGUUCGAUUCCCUCUUAAUGCA
This is a transfer RNA of 87 nucleotides. It matches the Rfam family "tRNA". Rfam says of the family: Transfer RNA (tRNA) molecules are approximately 80 nucleotides in length. Their secondary structure includes four short double-helical elements and three loops (D, anti-codon, and T loops).